CCCCCUCCUCUCUUUUUCUUUCUCUGUCUCUGUCGUCUCUCUCGCUGGCUUUUUAAAAAUGAGGAACCGUUCCUUGAACGUUCUGGACAGAGCACAGAAUUGCUUCUUAAGUCAGCCCGACGCGGUUGCAAUAGACAGCAAAAAGGUAAACGUUUGCCUGAAAUCCGCACGCCAGCUCCACCACCCCGCCCGAUGGUGUCUGAGUGUAGAGAAAAGCGGAUAGAGAAGCCUGGUUGCUGUUUGCCCUAAAGCUUCAUCGGAUGGGGAACUGAAUGUUUUCUUCCAGGCAUCCCCAAUCAGAACUUGUAAGUGAUCGGGCAUCACUGAUCUCAAGCAUGCAGGAGAUAUCAGGAUUUUAAUUUCGACUCCGAGUCCUUGCCAUUGCCAACGAUGAAGUCUACUACUCCUAAUCAUCGAAAAUGCUGUUGUCUGGCUCUACAUCCAGCGCGGAGCCCAGUGCGGAGCUUGAACUCACAAUCGUGAGAUCAAGACCUGAGCUGAGAUCGAGUCGGUUGCUAACCAACCGAGCCACCCAGGGCCCCGCUGGUGGGGAUUUUAAUGGGAACGUAUCCUACAUGGACCUUGGUACUCAGAGAGUAGUCCUCAAAUUAAAGUGGAGCUUCGGGGCAGAGCAUAGGGACAAACUAACUUACUUGAGGGGUCACAAAAAAGAGAUUGAUGAUCAAUGUGAUAGAUUGAGCCCCCAUGGUAGGUUGUAUUCUGAAUUAAAUGAAUGUGCUGAAGCAAAGAGAACAUGACUCAGUGAUUGGCAUCAUGGGUUCUAGACCCACUUCGGACACGAAUUAGCUCUAGAACUUCCUGGGACAUGAACUGGCUCUAGACCCACCUCGGACACGAACUAGCUCUCAGGCCUUUCAGGGCCUCAGUUCCGUCCUCUGUAAAGCAAGAAGUUGGGAUGAAGGUUCUAAAGUUCCUCCCAGCUUUCACCGUCUCUGCAAUGUUCAGUCAGUGGUCGCUCUGUGCACGCACUUAGUGAGGAGGAAUCAUUAGCAGGUGACCGAAUUAGGAUUAGAAUGCCUUUGGGUCAUUGUCGAGUUUUGGGACAUGAACUGGGCGCUUAGCACAAAAUGAGGGCCCAUCAGUGCUUUUAUAAUAAAUCCGUUUUUAUGGUGACGCCUAAGUGAAAUUCUAUUUUGGAGAACUGUUCUUGGUCCCGCCCAAUGGCUGUGAGUGGAUGUGGGAAGAGCACCAGAGGAAUGUUCUUUGUCUCACGACUUGGGGAAUGUUCUUUCGUUAGCGGUUCGGACACUGAUAGGGUUUCUUCAGAGCCUUGUCUACACCUGCAUAAGGAUGAAAAAAAAAAAAUGCAAGCCACACAUCACCAGGAAUCCAUGGCUGUGCCUGGCAGUGUAAUUGGGAAAAGUUUGGAAUGUUAGUGGACAUUCCUAGGAGCAGCUUUAUUUCCCGCACCUGCAGCAAUGCGCUGACAUUAAACACACAGGGACCAAGUGCAUGUGUGUAAGGCGCAGUGGUUUACAGAUGUGAAAAAUGGAUGGAUGAGGACUUGGGAUGAGAUUCUCCCAGGACUCCAGUGUGCUGAGGUUGGGAAAUGCUCAGGCGGGCACCUUCCAGGCACGGUUGGCUGUGCUACUAAUAAGGUUACUGCUGGGGCCUGAUUUCAUUCCAUGAAAUCUUUUCACCAUCAGGAUGAAGAAAAUUAUUUUUCACCGUUCCCCAAAUGGAAACAUUUUCAGGUCAGUGGGCCCUGGUGUGCCCGACGCCCAGCAUCUCCAUCAGAUACAGCUUUGAUGGUGUACCAUCUUCAUGGUGAGGCCUCGUCCACAGCCAUGGACUUUCAGGCGGGUUUGCUGCUCGGCUGCUGACCUUUCUCUGAAAAGAAGAGCUAAAAGAGUUUCUAUUAUCUGUGCUCUGACAUCACGGUGGUGCCUUGCAGAGUAUGUUGUGCGCAGAACCUCAUUCAAUCCUGACGCCAACCCCAGAAGACGUGUGCUUUCGUUACCCUCACCUUACAGAUGAGAAAAUGCAGAUAGAAGGAGGUUGGUUAAGUGACUUCCCCGAGGUCACAACCAGUAAGUGGCAAAGCGGGAAGUAGACCCCGGGCUCAACUACAGAGCUCGCAACUUGAUUGCCAGGCUUUAGAACUGCUACCCUAGCAGUGAAGGCAGGAUUGCUCCGGGAGGAGGUCAGGAGAGGCCGGCAGACAGAGCGAGGCGGCUGGGUGUCCACUGCAGUGGCCAGUGGGAGAACAGGAGGGCCACACCGGGCUGCGUCCGUGCAGUGCAGAGGGGGUGUGUGUGGGUUACACGGAGGACGACCCUUCUUCGUGGAAUGUGCCUGCCACCGGAGUUUCCUCUUGCUCGUUUGAAUUCUCAGGGCACAUCAUGUCUCUUGCCCAGGGCUUGCUUUUGCCAUGCCCCAUAACAGCUGUGCACAUCUUACGGCCUCUUGUCUAGUUCAAGUUUGUAAGGGGCAGGAGGAAUCAUGCUUUAUUUGCCUUAAUUUUAUCUUUGCAUUGCUGAGCACCGUGCUUUGGUAAACGAAUGAAUUCCCCAAAUUAUCUUUUGCAGAUCAUUUCUCCUUCUGUAUGCAUUUGCGAAGUCCGUGGCAGGUUAAACAGUUUUUCUUUUCAAAUAUGAAAAUAAUUUCUUUACACGAUCUACUUUAAACUAUUUGAAAAUAUGAGGGAGAGGAAGACAGGGAAGCUGUUUAAAAGCAGCAAAACCCUUUAAGAGUCAAUGUCACAUUUAUUGUUAUAAAAUAUUUUUCUCUCUCUGUUAGACAUCUGGUUCCCAUUACGUACAGUAUUGGGUACUUGAGUUCACCAGGCAUUUUGCAUACCAAGCAGUGUGCAUGUGAAAUCCCCCUGACAUCCGCCAGUUCAUAUUUGCACCAUGCAAGUCCUACUUUACAUUUGCAGACAACCCUUCCAUCACCAACUUAAUUCUUCCCAAUAUGCUUUCGAGGUUAUUUUGUUCAUCCUUAGCUUGAGGACCAAAUUGCCUACAUCUGAGAAAUGAAGGACUUAAUCAUGGAGUCUUUGCUUUAUGUCCCUAUAUGGUCCAACUAUCUAUAAGCUCACACCGAAGUCAAUGAAACAUCUAAAUCUUAAAUCUAUAUUUCCCAGUAACAUUGACCCAGAAAUGAGAAACACAAUAUGGAAUGUUUGCUAAUGAGUCAUGAAUUUCAUUAUAAUUGCUUCCACAUUCAGGAUAGCGCCCUUAAACCAUCUAAUCUUGACAUAUCCUGCAACAAUCCCAUGUGUUGUAAAUGGUUUUGUUUUAUUCCUUAGGUUACUGUUAAGGGCUUAUUUUAUGCUUCAUUUCAUUUUCUUAAAGAAAGCCACACACAUGUGUGUGCACACUCACUCUCUUGGAUGUGCACGCAUGCCCGUGUGCGCACCCACACGACUCGGAGGCUUAUUGCCUCGAUCUGUUUUUUUUUUUUUUUUUUGAAAUAAGAUAAUUAUGAAAGCAAAAGGAGCCCUCAUCCACAUUUGGGAAGAGAGCUGCAAUAUGGUCUAUCAUGGAGUUCCAAGUUAGGUCUCUGAGAAUUAAGGCCAGAAUCGAGCAGGGCCUCGGCCGGCAGCCGGCUGUCCCCUCGCUCUCUGCACAGAAGAGUCUAUGAACGGACGGACCCGGCUAGCAUUCAGUACAGUAAUAAUGGAAAAUUAAAUAUGACUUUUAAAAACUGCUCACAUUAUAAAGUGAUCUAUUAGCAUUAUAUGACUUUGGCACUUAAAGUGACUGAUUCUAAUUGUACGAUUUGGCCCAUGGCAAGCAUUAAAGAGCUACAGAAUCUUGUAGGUUUUUUUUUUUUUUUUUUUAAUCUCUUUUGGGAUAUUUUUAAGUGGAUUUUUUUUUUCCUUUGGAAUAAAGCUUUGUUCCUGCCACAGAAAAGGUUAUGUGGAAGAAAUCUCUCAGUCCUGAUAGAGCCAGAGCUUGGGGAUGUUAUCCUGAAAAAGUAAAGAUGGAUGGCCUUCCCUGAUGAGCUUUUCUAGCAAUCAGACAGGCAUUCUUUCCCUGCACCUGGUGAUCAUAGUGUAUCCUGCCGAAUCUUUUCUGCACGAGCCCGUGGGUUGCUAAGAUGACGUUGCAUGCCAUACCUUGAGCUGAACUUAAUUUAAGCAAGUUAGCACAAAACGAGGACAACUUCUGUGCAGGUCUGCUUCUUAGAGAUACUUACCAAAGUGUUUGCAAUUUUCAGAAAAAGAGGGAUGAAUAUGGGGGAAUGUCAUUCAUCUUUGAAUGAGACUUUAUGUUUAUGAUAUGUACAGGCUUUUUCUUAAUUCUCAUGGUAUGGACUGCAGGAAGCUUACUAACUGAAUAGUAUUGGAAACGGCAGCUUUUUAUGCUGACAGGGUCCUUUUUGAACUUACAUGUUUAAGCCAAACUGAAGUUUUACCUUAAUCUACGUGCCUAUGAAUUUCUUGUUGGCGGUUUUUGGAUUUCUCAAUUGCCGAAAAAUUGCCUACUGUGCUUCAGAGAGUUUUGAUAUAAUGACCCACAUUAUUAUCCAUAUAACCAACAGUGGGCUCUUGAACACAUAAUUUAAAAACUCCAGCAACACUGUUAAAGUGUAAACACCAGCCUUAUUUAUUUGAAACAUCUCUUUCUGAAAUUGGACCUUCUUUUUUUUUUUUUUAAGAUAAUGCUAAAGUAGAAAGAAGUUUAAAGACACUCUGGCUUCUUGUGAGUUUUCCACUAACAAUUCCCUAUAGCUUGCAAUAGCUCUCUUUCUUCCACAACCUGGAAUCUGCAGAAGAGAGCAGAAAUACUUGUUAUUGACCUGAAUUAGGAUAAAAGGAAAAGAGAAGAUAAGAUCAUAGCCGUCGGCAUUUUGUUUAUGAAAACAUCAUUUUGAGGAUGUGCUUGAAUCAGGCAAAAGUAAUGCACCUCCCUCCUCUUCCAGCAUUUUUGAAAUGCCAGCCUGAUAAGACUUAGAGAACAAUGCCCAGAAUUAGGGCAUUACCUUUCCUGUAUGCUAGUGUUGUGCACGAGAGUGUCAUUUAAUCAUGAUGGUUUUUCUUUGUUAUUUUAGAAAUACAUACGAAAAUAAAAAAAAUUAGAAAAUAAAAAUAUA
Non-coding RNA from Leptonychotes weddellii (Weddell seal), 5061 nucleotides. NCBI's taxonomy places the organism in Eukaryota, Metazoa, Chordata, Mammalia, Carnivora, Phocidae. The record is from RefSeq and is a predicted model, not a curated record.